RNAcentral lists this ribosomal RNA (231 nucleotides) under uncultured bacterium. Its description in RNAcentral is "partial 16S ribosomal RNA". It matches the Rfam family "Bacterial small subunit ribosomal RNA", at positions 15 to 237 of the family's 1533-position model. The record is from RNAcentral.
GAUCCUGGCUCAGGAUGAACGCUAGCUACAGGCUUAACACAUGCAAGUCGAGGGGCAGCAUGGUCUUAGCUUGCUAAGGCCGAUGGCGACCGGCGCACGGGUAAGUAACGCGUAUCCAGCCUGCCUUACACUCUUGGACAGCCUUCUGAAAGGGAGAUUAAUACAAGAUGUUAUCAUGAGUAAGCAUUUUCGCAUGAUUAAAGGUUUACCGGUGUAAGAUGGGGAUGCGUU